This 253-nucleotide ribosomal RNA is filed under the name uncultured bacterium. RNAcentral's name for it is "partial 16S ribosomal RNA". It matches the Rfam family "Bacterial small subunit ribosomal RNA", at positions 524 to 776 of the family's 1533-position model. The record is from RNAcentral.
UACAGAGGGGGCAAGCGUUAUUCGGAAUUAUUGGGCGUAAAGGGCGCGUAGGCGGCCUGGCAAGUGGAUGGUGAAAUCCCUCGGCUUAACCGAGGAACUGCCGUCCAAACUGCUUGGCUUGAGUCCGGGAGAGGUGAGUGGAAUUCCCAGUGUAGCGGUGAAAUGCGUAGAUAUUGGGAGGAACACCGGUGGCGAAGGCGGCCCCCUGGACCGGUACUGACGCUGAGGCGCGAAAGCGUGGGUAGCAAACGGG